ACCUGCUACAACUAAACACAACAUUACAACCUGCUACAACUAAACACAACAUUAUCGACCUGCUACAACUAAACACAACAUUAUCGACCUGCUACACAGAGAGGAACCAAGCAUAAAUGUCUUUUUCCAUUGAUUGAAAAUAGCUGUCACUGCAGGGGGAUGUUUGUAGCCAUCUUUUCAUUUUAUUUUCUCCUUCAUGUGGGAACAUCUAUAAUAUUAGACCCAUCUCUUUAUUCUCUUGAAUGACCUGUACAGACCAGGGUCUGUACCGACCCCGAGCUGGACUGAGGAGGUUUUAUACAGACCAGGGUCUGUACCGACCCCGAGCUGGACUGAGGAGGUUUUAUACAGACCAGGGUCUGUGAUCAACCAAGAUGGACUGAGGAGGUUUUAUACAGACCAGGAUCUGUACCGACCCAGAACUGAACUGAGGAGGUUUUAUACAGACCAGGGUCUGUACCGACCCAGAGCUGGACUGAGGAGGUUUUAUACAGACCAGGGUCUGUACCGACCCAGAACUGGACUGAGGAGGUUUUAUACAGACCAGGGUCUGUACCGACCCCGAGCUGCACUGAGGAGGUUUUAUACAGACCAGGGUCUGUACCGACCCCGAGCUGGACUGAGGAGGUUUUAUACAGACAGGGUCUGUGAUCAACCAAGAUGGACUGAGGAGGUUUUAUACAGACCAGGAUCUGUACCGAGCUGGACUGAGGAGGUUUUAUACAGACCAGGGUCUGUACCGAGCUGGACUGAGGAGGUUUUAUACAGACCAGGGUCUGUACCGACCCAGAGCUGGACUGAGGAGGUUUUAUACAGACCAGGGUCUGUACCGAGCUGGACUGAGGAGGUUUUAUACAGACCAGGGUCUGUAUCAACCCCGAGCUGGACUGAGGAGGUUUGAUACAGACCAGGGUCUGUACCGACCCAGAGCUGGACUGAGGAGGUUUUAUACAGACCAGGGUCUGUACCGAGCUGGACUGAGGAG
This 985-nucleotide long non-coding RNA is filed under the name Salmo salar (Atlantic salmon). RNAcentral describes it as "lncRNA (ENSSSAG00000110986.1)". Lineage: Eukaryota; Metazoa; Chordata; Actinopteri; Salmoniformes; Salmonidae. The record is from RNAcentral.